UACAGAGGUCUCAAGCGUUGUUCGGAUUCAUUGGGCGUAAAGGGUGUGUAGGUGGCGCGCUAAGUCGGGUGUGAAAUUUCGGAGCUUAACUCCGAAACUGCAUUCGAUACUGGCGUGCUUGAGGACUGGAGAGGAGACUGGAAUUCAUGGUGUAGCAGUGAAAUGCGUAGAGAUCAUGAGGAAGACCAGUGGCGAAGGCGGGUCUCUGGACAGUUCCUGACACUGAGGCGCGAAAGCGUGGGGAGCAAACAGG
RNAcentral lists this ribosomal RNA (253 nucleotides) under uncultured bacterium. RNAcentral describes it as "partial 16S ribosomal RNA". It matches the Rfam family "Bacterial small subunit ribosomal RNA", at positions 524 to 776 of the family's 1533-position model. The record is from RNAcentral.